GGUUGCGAUCAUACCAGCACUAAUGCACCGGAUCCUAUCAGAACUCCGCAGUUAAGCGUGCAUGGGCGAGAGUAGUACUAGGAUGGGUGACCCCCUGGGAAGUCCUCGUGUUGCAACCCC
Molecule: ribosomal RNA, 120 nt
Filed under: Helianthus annuus (common sunflower)
Lineage: Eukaryota; Viridiplantae; Streptophyta; Magnoliopsida; Asterales; Asteraceae
Source: RNAcentral